RNAcentral lists this ribosomal RNA (330 nucleotides) under uncultured bacterium. RNAcentral describes it as "bacterial SSU rRNA". It matches the Rfam family "Bacterial small subunit ribosomal RNA", at positions 568 to 898 of the family's 1533-position model. The record is from RNAcentral.
CGCGUAGGCGGACGUUUAAGUCAGGGGUCAAAUCCCGGGGCUCAACCUCGGAACUGCCUUUGAUACUGGACGUCUAGAGUACGGGAGAGGUGUGUGGAACUCCGAGUGUAGAGGUGAAAUUCGUAGAUAUUCGGAAGAACACCAGUGGCGAAGGCGACACACUGGCCCGUUACUGACGCUGAGGCGCGAAAGCGUGGGGAGCAAACAGGAUUAGAUACCCUGGUAGUCCACGCCGUAAACGAUGAGUGCUAGUUGUCGGCAUGCAUGCAUGUCGGUGACGCAGCUAACGCAUUAAGCACUCCGCCUGGGGAGUACGGUCGCAAGAUUAAA